CAGGGUAACACAUGAAUGAACUAGGGCUUGGUUGCUUUCCAUCCACAACAUGCCACGACGAGCUGUAACGAUGCCUAACUCACUGCAGCAAAAGUGUACACCACAAUGUGGUGGGAUUUUACAAUAGAGAAUCAUGUGGCCACAUCUUUUUACUUGAACCAAGCAACCGCCUCUUGUGGUGUGGUGUGUCUUAUCCUUCGCGUGGCAAAGGAUAGUGGGGAACCAACCCCCCUUCCUCCCACCCCCACCCAUCCAUCCAAAAUUUUUUGCCCAUAAAUUGUCUCUUCAAGGUAAGAACUAAGAACACGAGUGUGAGCAUAUAGGAGAUUGCUGUUGAGAAAUUUUGAACUGAAGAUUGUAUCUCAACUGUUUCUUCUGCGUUCAACCAAAAAAUAUGUGGUUGUAAUUCUGAUAAUCUUGUCUUGUCUGGACGUCAUCCAAAAUUGUGGUGAUAACAACAAUAUUGCCGGUAUUCACCAAUGUUUUUUUUUUAUUUUUAGGGUACGUUUGGAUCUUUUUUUACUAGUUGUUAGUUCAACUAAAGUUAGGUGAAAAAACUUUGGCCAACUAAAUCUCGGUCCUGUGUUGUUUAAACGGUAAUGAUAUAUGACGGGCGUCUGAAUGGAACAGACGGACCCGCACAGACUCGAUCAAGUCGUUCUUUGGACUUGCUCGCUCAUCUCCGUUCUCCACCCGCACAGAUACGCACAUCUCUUUUCCCUACUUGCUCUAUCCGCUCGUCCGCUCUCCCCGUGCUCCUUCCGCACCCAGUUGUUGCCACGCCACACAAGUCGCUGCCGCCGCUCAAUCCCUCCCUCCCCGACCGCCGUGAUACGCACUGUUCUUUGAAGCCGCCUCAGGACAGACGCCACACCCGCGCAGGUCACUGCCGCUGCUCCCUCUCUCCCUCCACAACCUUCAUGUGACCGCACCGAAGACAAAGGGCGAUCACGGCAACUCCGGUGAGGCAGGUGGGUUAUUCUCCUCUUCCUCCUCCUUCUCCUAUAGAUCUGAGCCUUCGUCUUCGUCGUCGUCCUCCUCCUCCUCCUCUGGAUCUGAGGGACACAGUGGUGGCUAGGGGUCUAUGAACUCUUUUACUCCGAUGAGCUCGAAGGUGAUGGGCCAGGGUUGGAGCAGAACACAUCCCCUUGCUAUUUUUGCACGUCCUUUUUGUUGUUUCUCUGUGUUGCAAUGAUUUUUUUGAUGUUGUGAUAGAUGAUUUCGAAUGUUGCAAUGAGAUUCUUAGGUUGCUGCAAUAGAUGACUUUCGAAUAUUUCAUUUUCAUGUUUCAUGGUUAGCUUUUGCGAUGUUGCAAUACUACCAUUCGAGAUGGUGCAACACAUAAUUUUGG
RNAcentral lists this long non-coding RNA (1351 nucleotides) under Sorghum bicolor (sorghum). RNAcentral describes it as "long non-coding RNA (SBIC_LNC007541)". The record is from RNAcentral. Lineage: Eukaryota; Viridiplantae; Streptophyta; Magnoliopsida; Poales; Poaceae.